GUGAAAUGCGUAGAGAUCCGGAAGAACACCAAAGGCGAAGGCAGUGUCCUGGGUGGUACCUGACGCUAAGAGGCGACAGCUAGGGGAGCGAACGGGAUUAGAUACCCCGGUAGUCCUAGCCGUAAACGAUGACCACGAGAUGUCCGGGGGAUCGACCCCCUGGGUGUCGAAGCAAACGCAGUCAGUGGUCCGCCUGGGGAGUACGGUCGCAAGAUUAAAACUCAAAGGAAUUGACGGGGACCCGCACAGGCAGCGGAGCGUGUGGUUUAAUUCGAUGCAACGCGAAGCACCUUACCAGGGUUUGACAUGUCUUUGCACCUCUAGGAGACUAGAGUGCCCGCAAGGGACGGAGACACAGGUGCUGCAUGGCUGUCGUCAGCUCGUGCCGUGAGGUGUUGGGUUAAGUCCCGCAACGAGCGCAACCCUCAUUGCUAGUUGGAUUUCUCUAGCGAGACUGCCACGAUCAACGUGGAGGAAGGUGGGGAUGACGUCAAGUCAGCACGGCCCUUACAUCCUGGGCGACACACACGCUACAAUGGCCGAGACAAAGAGGGGCGAACCGGCGACGGGGAGCUAAUCUCGACAAACUCGGUCCCAGUUCAGAUUGCAGGCUGCAACCCGCCUGCAUGAAGUUGGAGUUGCUAGUAACCGUGAGUCAGCACAUCACGGUGAAUACGUUCCCGGGUCUUGUACACACCGCCCGUCACACCACGAAGGUCGGCAACCCCUGAAGCCGCUGGGCUAACUCGCAAGAGAGGCAAGCGUCGAGGGUGGGGUCGGUGAUUGGGGUGAAGUCGUAACAAGGUAACCGU
Molecule: ribosomal RNA, 812 nt
Filed under: uncultured bacterium
Lineage: Bacteria
Description: bacterial SSU rRNA
Rfam family: Bacterial small subunit ribosomal RNA
Source: RNAcentral